CAUUUACCUUGCCCCCAAGGCUUGUGGUGUAAACACGACUUCAACCUCUCUAAUUUUACCAUUUUCGUUGUAGUGACCAGUGUGGACACCAACAUAAUUUUUUAACCAAUCAUCGCGUGUUUACAAGUUAUCGUAUCGUUGUGUAGACGUGUAAACGUUCGUCUGAAUUUGCUUAUCAAGCGAUUUAUUGUGUAGCUCCUUAUAUAUGUGGAUCGUGAAUGCAUGACGCUACUCGGCCCCAGGACAUUUUUUAAGGAAUUACGACUACUGCCGGGGCUAAAGCCGCGUUCACACCAGCGGCCCAGGUCUGGCCUGGGCCUUGACCUGGGCCAAUUGUGACGCAUUCACACUGGCUUGACGCCCAACUCCAGGCCAAAGCAAUCAGGCGUCAAUAUAAACGUCCUUGUGUUCCACUAAAGUAUUUAAUUUCGCGCUUUGAAUGUUUUUCCCUCCAAUUGUAUGACAAUCAUCUGACCAGUUUUUAUCGUGGGCAGAUAUUGCGAUGGUAACGGGGCCUCGCCCAGGCCAGGCCCAGGAAAAACCCGUUCACACCAGUGAUGAUCGAGGCCAGGUCCAGGCCACCUACAUUUGCUGGCCUGGAUUUCUUGACUUAGGCCAGGCUCAGGCCAGGUAAAACCCGUUCACACCUAGACCCAGGCCAGGUCCAGGCCAGGCCUGGGCCGCUAGUGUGAACGCGGCUUAAGUCUCAAUGAAGGCCUUUUCCCACACAGUGACGCGUAUACAUGAAGACCAUGCAUGCUAUGCUGACGUUUAUAAGAUGAAAUGUCGAGAAUGUGAGAGGAUAUGAGAAAGCAGGCAGAUGCAGCUUUUUCAACAAGGAUGACUUUUUACUAAUGAUCAAAAGGGCCCGACUUAUCUGAAAAUAUGCUUCACUACUGGGGCAAGCAAAGGGCCUACUGGGAUAAAUACCCCAGUAUAGUUACAUAGUUAAAAAAUCCCCUGACACUACUGUUAUAUUAAUGUGCAAAGAAUUGUUUUUUAUAUUAAUAAACAAAGUGUAUUAGAUAAAAUUUAAACGAUCAAUCUGUAUGGGAUUAAUCAUUAACAAAAAUCAUCA
Non-coding RNA from Paramuricea clavata, 1078 nucleotides. Lineage: Eukaryota; Metazoa; Cnidaria; Anthozoa; Malacalcyonacea; Plexauridae. The record is from the annotation of a GenBank genome assembly.